RNAcentral lists this long non-coding RNA (5010 nucleotides) under Olea europaea (common olive). RNAcentral's name for it is "long non-coding RNA (OEUR_LNC008322)". Lineage: Eukaryota; Viridiplantae; Streptophyta; Magnoliopsida; Lamiales; Oleaceae. The record is from RNAcentral.
CCAACAAAAACGUUUCUUGAGGGAUUAAAACCCUACUCUUCUCCCACCAUAUUCACAUGAAAUACCAAACUAAUCAAAUUCAAUAAUAACCGUAUUAAGAUCUUGUUUCUAAUACUGUUCACCCCAUAUACCACUGGUAACCAAGUUUUUACCAGUUUUUUUGUGCGAAGAAUUAUCAGACUUUCCAUCUGCUACUGCACCAUAGUUCAUCACGUCGAAGAAUUUCGGUGCUAAAGGAAACACGAAAAAACAACAAAAAUGUAAGAACAAUUCCAGAGCCAGAACUCAAUGCCAUUUCUUAAUUCUUGUGUUAUGCAAGGAACGCUUUGAAGUUUAUAUUGGUCCAUAUCAUAUCAUGUAAGAUUUUAUUGAUAUUAAUUGAUCUCCCUUUUUAUAUCACGUUCGAUGCAGUUUUAAAGAAAGUAAAAUGCUGAUGGAAACGUAUAAAUGCAUGCAACAACUUUAUUUUUUCCAUCAAAUUGCAUGAAUUUGAUCAAUUUAUUGCUGCUUUACACAUUAUAUUUAAUUAUUUUAAAGUUGGUAAAAUUGGAAAAAUUUGUAAACCACUUAUGAUUAUGCUUUUUUCUACACAUUCGGUAUCCUGUCUCUCUCAUUCGGUAUCUUUGACAAGAUUCUAAUUCUAAUUCAAAUUGUAUUAAAAGUGGGAUAGUCUAGUUCGUUUUAAUUAGUUCUUAUUACAAGAGUCCCUUGACUUUGUAACUACUUUUAAUUUGUAGAAACUAUCUACGUUACUCAUAAAAAGGAACAUAAAGAGAAGUUUUUGAGUAAGCUAAAAGAACAAAUUUUAUAACGUGGGCGAAUUUCAUUUCGCUAUCCCUACCAUUAUCGAAAUUUUAAUUGAAUUACUAAAUUUAAAUUUAUCUCGAUUGAGUUGUUCAAGUUUAAUACGAUAAUUGAUAUUCCACUUAAUUGCUUCAUGACACCCGAAAAAUUGAAAAUGUUAUAAAAGAAGGGUUACGACAAUAUUUUCAAAUUAAAAUUGUUAAGGCAUAUAUGCUUGCAACAUUUAACAGGCAGUUUAGUGAAAUUGAUUGAUUUUAUACCACUUUUAAUUUUUUCAAUAGUUCAUGGUUGCAUAAAAUUGAAUUUUACUGUGAAAAAAAUUAGCAAAUUUCAAAUUCUCUUCCUUUUUGCGCUUGGAUCAAAUCGAUGUCAGUUCAUAUGAAACCACAUUACAUUGUUGAUACUGUUUCGACCUAACUAAAACCUGCCCUUUGUUGACUAAAACUCUUCAAAAAGAUACCAAUACUAUGCUUUACAACACAAAUGUCAACAAUGUCAUGCUGUUCGUACAUAAGCCAGUACUGUUUUUGUUCACUCGUAGAACCAAAAAAAAUAAAAAUUAAAAAGAAUUAAAUCCAUGCUUGUGUAGAAGAAAGAGGGAGCAUGGUCCCUAGUCUCGUAUUUUGCUAGGCAUGAUUCCUUAUUGUAUGAACGUGUUUAUUGGACAAAUCAAGACAAUGGUCACAUGAUGUAUAUCAAAUGUAUCAUUGCAAUAUUUGAAUUAUUCUGUUCAAUAAUGUGUAUACUUUUGAAAAUAGUAAUUAUUAUUUCUAUUUUAAAAUCUAGGACAUGUUUGGAAAUAUUUCUUCAUAAUAUUGUGACAAAGGAAUUUUAAGAUUUGAUGGGAUCUUAACUCAUCAAACGGUCUUAAGCAUGCCCACAGAGAGUCACAAUGAUGUCCCAAGGAGGAAUCAAGCACGAUAAAAAGUACCAGAUGAAGGGAUUCUUAAAUGAAUUAAUCUAGUUGUACAAACUUUGUUUGCAAACUAUUUUGAAAUGAUUGGCUUAGAUGUUGCCAAAACAUAAUCUGUAAACCAAGUUUCUCAACCUAAUUUAUAUAAAUAAUAUAAUUCUUCUUGAAUCACAUCAGAGGUUUGAACUCGACUCAAAUAUUCAGAAUUCAAAUCCCUCCCCGAAUUGUUGCAUAACUAAAAUGAUUAUCUGCAAUAAAUUUUAUGGUUAAAUCAUGCCAAGUGAGAAUGAAAUUCUUGUUAAAGAUUAAAUUUAAGUACAUAAAUAUGUCUCAUCUGAAAUUGUAUAAGUUUCUCUAUAAUAAUUUAAGUUUUUAGACAAGAUGGUUCAAUAAUUCUCUUCUCCAUUAAAAUAAAAUAAAGUAGAAGUGAUUGUUAGAUAGAUAGGGACUAUAAUAGAUGAUAUAUAUCCUAGAUAGUAGUUGGUAUUGACUAUUAGUUAGUGCAAAGGUUUGUAGUUGAUCUCAACUGCAAAUUUUCUUCGGGAAAAGUUAGGCUCCUUGAGUUAUUUCCUAAGAGUUGAUGUGUUUAUAGGGGUACUUUGUAGGACUUGAGGCCUAAUUUAUUUCAUAGUCACAAUUAUCUUAACUGAAAUCAUUGGCAAGUUUACAAGAGGGUUUAGAGGUAUAUAUCUAAAGGGAAGAACUACCUAUAUAGCCUUCACUUUAAGCCUUGUAACUUGUAAUCAAUUACUGCUUGAAGGGUUCAGAUACAAAAAGUAGGCUAGAAAUUUGGAUUACUUAUGGUCUACAUGUGCCUCCUGCAUAUAUAUUCGUGGAGACACCAUAAUUCAAUGGAGCACCAGGAAAUAAAAAGUUGCAUAUUUAGUUUGAAUAUAGGGUUUAGGCUCAAGUCUACUAAUAUUAUUUAGCUACAACAUUUGUUCACGAAGUUGGGACAUACAGUCCCCGACAAUCUGUUCUUAAUAUAGAUGACCAUUUUUUUCUCGUGCAAAAGUUCUUAUCAAACAGCUGAAAGUUAUGCAGUCUUCUUGAAUUUUCAAGUUUCAAGUACAUUGACAAAGGCUUUGUGUACCACUUGUUUUGAACGGCUUCGGAGUAAACUGAACAUGAUUCAGUCUCCUUCAAUUUGAGAGGUUUUAUUAUAUUUAGAAUUUGAGAUCUUAAUGUCUCAUAUGCCGAAUGUGAUUAAAACUCGAAAUUUCUGCUUAGCUUAACACCAAAAUAGCAUUUACAAUAUUCUCGGGCAAUAUGCAGAAUCUUUACAAGGUUUACCACACUUUAUCUCAAUCAAGAGAACAUAUAUUUGUGUGUGUAUAUAUAGUAGGAAAAUAAUAAUAAGCAAAACUAGAACGGCUUUAAGAAGACGAGGAACAAUUAAUGCACGAAAUUGGAAGAAAAAUGAUUUCAACCUUAACUUCCCGUCUUGGUAUGACAGAUAUUUCUGGUCCCUAAUUUUGGCUUUUUUUUUAAUCUCGUCCAUCCCCUUCUGUCCAUGGCUGUUUAUGACGAAAUCUAAAUAAGUAUAUUAUCCCUUUUCGAACAAUUUAAACUUUUAGAUGAGGUAGUUCAAGCGUUCUACAUAUUCCCUGAGGAGAUGAAAGUCCAAGUUUCCUUGCAGCCAUUUAUGAAAUGUAAACAUAAAUACAGACUGAUCAUUAGGGAGCGUGCUAAAGAUAUAAUGAAAUUAAUAAAUGCAUCUUUUCUCAAUAACUUAAGCUUCCAGAAGAGUGGUUUAACAGCAGUUUCAUUUACGAAAUUGGAACUAAGUAACUUAGUAUUACAUUCAAAAAUUAAUAAACUGUUUUUCAUAAUUUCUUUAAAUGUGAAAGUAGUUCUCUCAUUGACAUCAAGAAGAAGAUAAUUGCAUUCAAUGCUCUACGCAGUGAUCCAUACUUCUUUAAAUCAGUCUAACAAUUCAUCGUGCAAGCCUAGAUACACAUAAUACACAAUACACCGAGAGAAAGAGAAUUCAUGGCUCCUCUUUGUGAACAAAUGAGGGAAACAUGUCAGGCAUAAAAUUAUAUUCAGGAAGUUGAAGUUGCUGCUGAGGAUUAAGGUUAUUAUAAUACAUGGAAUUUGGGGGGUUUUGGUUACUUGUUGGAAGCAUUUGAGAAAGGAUGUAGUCCUGCGGAAAACUUGGGAUUGUGGGCUGCAGCGAAGAUGCCAACAUGGCGGUGGCCUGGCCACGAAGCAUGGCGGGACUGUGGUGGUUGUGCUGGCCUUCAUAGGUGGUGAUCACCACAGACGGAUCUUGAAAUGAUCUUUCAAUUCUUUUCUUCACAGAGCACUUCUGAGUAGUGCAUCUAUAAUAACUCCUACAACAUUAAUGAGGAGAGGGGUUACUGUAAUCAGAUUCCAUUCUUCUCUAUAUUAAUUUUUCUUAAUUCUCUGAAGAAAAUUACAAGUUAAUUUAACAUCAAUUGUUGAGAUAUAUUACUCAUGUUGGCAUGUUUUCUCUAGUAAUAGUAAUCAAAUCAAGAAUUUCAAUUUAAAGGGGUACUAAUCAAUAAUACUUUGAAGACAUAGCAUAAAAUCAAAGUUUUCAUUAAUUAACAAACUUGAAAUAUAAGUUAUAUUGAUACUAAUCAAUUAUUUCGCAUUGUACUGCAGGUGAAGAAAUUAUCAUGGGCAGGAUAUUAAAGAUAUAUAAUAACCUUGGAAAAGGGCUAUUUUUCACUGCUUUCUGGCCAUAUUUCCUCCACCUAUAACCAUCUUCAAGAUUAUCGAUUUCACUCUUUGUCAUGAAGGCAAAACGCGGUUCUCGUUUCUUUUUCUCCCCUUUCUGUUUUGGUUUGUUCCUGGAAAAUAAUUAAGUAGCAGUUAAUUAAUUAAAUAAAGUGUGAAAAUUCAUUUCCAUGAACUAGAUUUGAAGUAAUAGUUGUUGAAAAAUUAGGGUUUUGUUUCAUACAUACAUAGUUUCAAUUUCAAGAUAUGAACAUACAAAUAAGCACAAUUGAUUUAAGAAGAAGAAAGUAAGUAGAAAAAUAUAAAACCAUCCUACUAUUUUUCUUCAGUUCUGUAAAUAAGUAUAAUUAUGAAUAAAUUGAAAAUUAGCAAAGGACCAAAAAAGUCCACCUUGAUAGUAAUGGCAAAGAAAAAUCAAGUAGAAAACCCCCAAAAUACCUACGCUUUUUUAGACUUUUCCUCUUCAUCUUCAAACACUUUUUUCUGCAGAUCUUCCUUGCUUUUUGAGGAUUCCUCUUCACCUCCAACCGCAGAAGAAGACGAAAACUCGGUAGAAUUCGGCGUCAAUGGAUUUUCAUUAUUCCCUC